UACGUAGGGGGCAAGCGUUGUCCGGAAUCAUUGGGCGUAAAGCGCGUGUAGGCGGUCCGGUAAGUCCGCUGUGAAAGUCGGGGGCUCAACCCUCGAAUGCCGGUGGAUACUGUCGGGCUAGAGUGCGGGAGAGGCGAGUGGAAUUCCUGGUGUAGCGGUGAAAUGCGCAGAUAUCAGGAGGAACACCAAUUGCGAAGGCAGCUCGCUGGAACGUAACUGACGCUGAGACGCGAAAGCGUGGGGAGCAAACAGG
This 253-nucleotide ribosomal RNA is filed under the name uncultured bacterium. RNAcentral's name for it is "partial 16S ribosomal RNA". It matches the Rfam family "Bacterial small subunit ribosomal RNA", at positions 524 to 776 of the family's 1533-position model. The record is from RNAcentral.